AACCGCAGAAAACGCUGGAGAGAGAGAGAGAGAGAGAGAGAGAGAGAGAGAGAGAGAGAGAGGAGGAGGAGGAAGAGAAAACGGUAACUAAAAACAUAAUCGCUACUGGAAACACAUUAAGAUUACAUGGACGGGAAGCAGACUGGUGGAAAACAGAUAGACAGAUACAGGAAAAAAAAACACAACGCGCGCGAGAGUGAAAGGGAGAGGAGGAGAAACAAGGACCAGUUCAUAACAUAAUCGCUACUGGAAACACAUUAAGAUUACAUGGACAGGAAGCAGACAGGUGGAAAACAGAUAGACAGAUAGACAAAGAAACAGACAGAACCACAGAAAACGCGAGAGAGAGAAAGGGAGAGGAGGAGAAACCGGGACCAGUUCAAAACAUAAUCGCUACUGGAAACACCCUAAGAAGAUUACAUGGACAGGACAGAAAGCAGACAGGAAGGAGACAGGAAAGCAUACGGACAGAAUAGACGAAGGAAGAUGCAGUCGAGUAGCGGGCUUUUUUUAUUAUUAUUAUUGUUUCCUUUUUUUGUGCCCUUGAGCUGUCUCCUUUGUAAGAGAGAUUAAGAGGAGGAAAGAAAAAUACGGAGAAGGAAACGAAAAGAGAGGAAAAACGAAAGGAAGACAGAUAAGCCAAAAAAACCGAUGAAAUAAUAAAAGAAAAAAAACUAAGGGAAAGGGAGAUAAAAGGGACACAGAAGAGGCGGGAAAAUAAACAAAGGAAAUACUGAAUAAAAGAGGCAAUGAGAGAGAGAGAAAAAAACAGGUGUAUAGGUAUAAUCAGACAGGUACAUAAUUACAAAGGUGAGAUAAUAAGUUUGACAGAUUUGAACAGGUAGAUAGACACGCAAUAUGAUGAGAAAAAAAACAGGUGUAGGCCUAUAGGUAAUGAGACGGUAUCAGGUAAUGACGUAUAAUUAGAGACAGGUACAUAUUAUAAGGGUGAGAUAAUGAGUUAGACAGAUAUUUAAACAGGUAGAGACAGGGAAUAUGACAAUGAUAUCGAUAGGUAGUUGUUAAUUUCACAAUCAACACGCACCCUCAUCACCACCAUCACCAUUAUCAUCACCAAGGACACUACACCAUCACCACCACUAAUACCACCUUCCCGUAUCAAUACCAACACCAUCACUACUUCUUCUUAUACCAAAAUCACCAUUAACCACUUCUCCCUUCUCCCUCCCUUCUCUCUCCCUCCUCCCUUCCUCUCUUCUCAAACCUCCCUUCUCUCUCCUUCAUAAUUAUCUACCUUCUUCUCUCCCUUCCCUCCUUUAUCCCUGUCUCUCUCUUCCCAUUUUCCCUUUCUAAAUUAACCUAACGGAACUUUCCCACCAUCACCACCAUUAUCAUCAAGGACGUUAGGCCAUCAUCACCACCACCACCACCACCACCACUAACACCUUCCCCUAUCAAUACCAACACCAUCACUACUACUUAUUCUUACAUCAAAAUCAUCACCACUAUAAAACAUUCCACCACCACCACCUAACAACCAUCUUCAUC
Long non-coding RNA from Eriocheir sinensis (Chinese mitten crab), 1509 nucleotides. RefSeq lists it as uncharacterized. The record is from RefSeq and is a predicted model, not a curated record. NCBI's taxonomy places the organism in Eukaryota, Metazoa, Arthropoda, Malacostraca, Decapoda, Varunidae. The transcript has 3 exons.